RNAcentral lists this unclassified non-coding RNA (766 nucleotides) under Hevea brasiliensis (rubber tree). The record is from RNAcentral. Lineage: Eukaryota; Viridiplantae; Streptophyta; Magnoliopsida; Malpighiales; Euphorbiaceae.
GACACAAUUCAGUUCAGGGGACGUCCAGCUAUGUGGCCGUCGACCCUUCCCUAUCUUAGUUAGCUAUUUUUAGUUUUCUUAGCUGUUUUUCCUUCUGGUAUUUCCUUUCUUUAGUCUCCAGUUUGGAGUUUUAAGUACCCCUCUUAGAUGGGGUUUUUGUUUGGGUCCCUAUGGUCGAUCUGCAUGCUAGUGAUCUGAAGAGUGUAGCCAGUUGAGGGGUUUUCUUUGCUACUUGGUGAGAAGUAAGAGUUGGUUUCCUAGGGCUCUCCCUGCUAGCUGGCAUAUCAAGGGUAGAUCCAGUGCCAUUCAAGUGAUUGCUGAUCUCUGAUCCCUAUGAGCUAUAUGAGAUUGAGAAGCCUGAUCACUACUAGGCCUCUCUCGGUUCACCAGCAUCCAUGGUUCUAGUUUAUCAAUUUCGGCUUGGAGAUUGGCUUUUUAAUUGCCUGUGCCUUGGAGUUGAUUUGUGUUGGGGUUCCAUGCUUCAGUCGGGGAUGGGGCCGUUUUAGCCUGCAUGUUCGUUCAUGAUGGUGGAGUUUUCCUCUUUCUGUGGCUAACGACUCUGUGGCUUCUAGUGAUCCUAAUGCAGUGACGAAGGUUCCUUCUUUUCUUUGCUGUUUUGGUUAAGGUUUCAAGUGAAAAAUGGGCUUGGGCUUUUGAUACGAGUUUUAAAGUUAGCCAUAAUCUCUAAGUGUAAUGGGCUCAGUUCUGGACUACGAACUAUGUAACAUUUGAUUCCAUCUAUGAUAUAUGCUAUUUCUGAUUAAAA